Molecule: long non-coding RNA, 1601 nt
Filed under: Nicotiana tabacum (common tobacco)
Lineage: Eukaryota; Viridiplantae; Streptophyta; Magnoliopsida; Solanales; Solanaceae
Description: long non-coding RNA (NTAB_LNC003154)
Source: RNAcentral
UUUAAAACCCUAAUGCUGAUUGCAUGGAAAAGCUCAGUUUAAAGUUUAAAACUCUAAUGCUGGCUGAAAAGAAAAAAGUUCAGUUUAGGGUUUAAAACCCUAAUGCUGACUAAAAGGAAAAUUCAGUUUAGGGUUUAAAACCCUAAUGUUGAUUGCAUGGAAAAGCUCAGUUUAAAGUUUAAAACUCUAAUGCUGGCUGAAAAGGAAAAAGUUCAUUUUAGGGCUUAAAACCCUAAUGCUGACUAAAAGGAAAAUUCAGUUUAGGGUUUAAAACCCUAAUGCUGAUUGCAUGGAAAAGCUCAGUUUAAAGUUUAAAACUCUAAUGCUGGCUGAAAAGGAAAAAGUUCAGUUUAGGGUUUAAAACCCUAAUGCUGACUAAAAGGAAAAUUCAGUUUAGGGUUUAAAACCCUAAUGCUGAUUGCAGGGAAAUGCUCAGUUUAAAGUUUAAAACUCUAAUGCUGGCUGAAAAGGAAAAAGUUCAGUUUAGGGUUUAAAACCCUAAUGCUGACUAAAAGGAAAAUUCAGUUUAGGGUUUAAAACCCUAAUGCUGAUUGGAUGGAAAAGCUCAGUUUAAAGUUUAAAACUCUCUAAUGCUGGCUGAAAAGGAAAAAGUUCAGUUUAGGGUUUAAAACCCUAAUGCUGAUUAAAAGGAAAAUUCAGUUUGGGGUUUAAAACCCUAAUGCUGAUUGCAUGGAAAUGCUCAGUUUAAGUUUAAAACUCUAAUGCUGGCUGAAAGGAAAAGUUCAGUUUAGGGUUUAAAACCCUAAUGCUGACUAAAAGGAAAAUUCAGUUUAGGGUUUAAAACCCUAAUGCCGAUGGCAUGGAAAAGCUCAGUUUAGAGUUUAAAACUCUAAUGCUGGCUGAAAGGAAAAAGUUCAGUUUAGGGUUUAAAACCCUAAUGCUGACUAAAAGGAAAAUUCAGUUUAGGGUUUAAAACCCUAAUGCUGAUUGGCUGGGGAUAAAGCUCGAGAAUACUACACGAUCUAUUUUUAAGUUUUCUUGUUUUAAUAGAAGAUGAAAGGGAGUUUUGCGGGAACUUACCUUUUGAGUGAAUUCCUUAUUGCCAAAAUGUUUCUUGUACCCGUGUACCUUCUUCUUUGGGCGACACCUGCUUCUUGCACGGUUGUCUUGGAUUAAAACCUGUUUCAACUUAUCAGACAAAGAACAAUUGUUAGUUCGGAGAUGACGGUCGGUUCGGUGACCUUGAUCGUUCCCAAUUGCUUUGUUGCGUCUCUAUUUAUGUUGCGAAGUCCUGCCAUUGAUUUGAUUCGAAUGGCGAAACCUUUAGACUGCUCAGGCUUGUAUUUCCGGAUUCUGCGAUGACUUGCCUCGUAAGGCUCCUUUUUUUUUUGUGUCCCGUUUUGCUUGGAGGUUCUCAACGGGGAUUUUAUUGGAGGUAUUUUGUAGGAAUUUGUACAAAAGGGAAGCUCUGUGGGGAAUAUUUACAAAGUGGAUUCUUUGUGUGGAUUUUUGUACAAUGGGGCAUGCUGGGGAUUUAUUUCAAAGCGGGAUUUCUAGGAUUUGUUGGGGUAAGCUUGUUGGGGUAUAUUUACAAAAGGACUCGCUGGGAUGUGCUGGGGAGAUUCCAUUUUUUUUUUUUU